RNAcentral lists this transfer RNA (76 nucleotides) under Ginkgo biloba (maidenhair tree). RNAcentral describes it as "tRNA-Val". It matches the Rfam family "tRNA". Rfam says of the family: Transfer RNA (tRNA) molecules are approximately 80 nucleotides in length. Their secondary structure includes four short double-helical elements and three loops (D, anti-codon, and T loops). Lineage: Eukaryota; Viridiplantae; Streptophyta; Ginkgoopsida; Ginkgoales; Ginkgoaceae. The record is from RNAcentral.
GGGGCUAUAGCUCAGCAAGGUAGAGCACCUCGUUUACACACCGAGAAGGUCUACGGUUCGAGCCCGUAUAGCCCUA